CCCCUCCUUUCCCCUCUUUUCCUCUCUCCCCCUCCCUCCUCGCUCACCUCCCCUCUCCUCACCCUCCAUCCCUCUCAUUUCCUCCUCCUUUUCUUCUCCCUCCUUCAGCCUUCCCCACCCUUUCUUUCUUUCUCUCCCCCUCCCUCUCUCCUCUCCUUUUCUCCCCCUCCCUGCCUCCCCCUCCCUCUCCCUUCUCCCUCUCCCUCCAAGUCUGGCACUGAACGCGAACUGUUUUGCUUUGCUCCGGGAAGAGUGCAGACACAGAACGUGAAAUCCCGAGCUUUUUGCGUGGUGCAUUUAGAAUGCUUCCUUAUUUAUAUUACCCUCAUUCCCCCACCCCACCCACCCCCUCACCAGUCCUUCCAAAUUUCCCUAGAAAUCUAUGUAGAGCGCGCGGAGGGGAACAUUUGCACAAAAAGUGAAGGAGCUCGCCAAGGAGUUCCCGUUUGGGUAGUCAGACCUGUCCUGACAGCCAGCCAGCCGGAGGUCUACACGAGGGUUGGCCAUGGAAGGAGGGAGUCCCAGAGGCCUCAGGGACUGGCAAGUCUGAACGAAUGAGCACCCGAGUCCCAGGAAAUGUCAAGUUUUAUCCUCUAAAGAACCUCGGAGACUUUUUUAAAGGUGAAACUUUUCAUCUUUAGGUAAGGAAACGUUUUCUAUUGUUUAUCCAUCUAUUGAAAAGAGAACAUUUCAUUUAGAGGAAAGAAGUAUCAUGAACUUAAGCUUUGCCUAUGCUAACUGAUAUAAGAUAUUAUAAAGACGAUAGAGAGCUGGGUUUUUAAGUUAAAUAAAACAAACUAGUUGAAAAUUUUUCA
This 815-nucleotide long non-coding RNA is filed under the name Vulpes vulpes (red fox). Its description in RNAcentral is "lncRNA (ENSVVUG00000017297.1)". The record is from RNAcentral. Lineage: Eukaryota; Metazoa; Chordata; Mammalia; Carnivora; Canidae.